RNAcentral lists this ribosomal RNA (361 nucleotides) under uncultured bacterium. RNAcentral describes it as "bacterial SSU rRNA". It matches the Rfam family "Bacterial small subunit ribosomal RNA", at positions 29 to 414 of the family's 1533-position model. The record is from RNAcentral.
AGCGAACGCUGGCGGCAGGCUUAAUACAUGCAAGUCGAGCGCCUGUAGCAAUACAGGAGCGGCAGACGGGAGAGUAACACGUGGGAACGUGCCCUUUGGUUCGGAACAACACAGGGAAACUUGUGCUAAUACCGGAUAAGCCCUUACGGGGAAAGAUUUAUUGCCAAAGGAUCGGCCCGCGUCUGAUUAGCUAGUUGGUGAGGUAAUGGCUCACCAAGGCGACGAUCAGAGCUGGUCUGAGAGGAUGAUCAGCCUCAUUGGGACUGAGACACGGCCCAAACUCCUACGGGAGGCAGCGGCAGGGGAAUAUUGGACAAGUGGGCGCAAGCCUGAUCCAGCCAUGCCGCGUGAGUGAUGAAGG